RNAcentral lists this ribosomal RNA (305 nucleotides) under uncultured bacterium. RNAcentral describes it as "bacterial SSU rRNA". It matches the Rfam family "Bacterial small subunit ribosomal RNA", at positions 337 to 634 of the family's 1533-position model. The record is from RNAcentral.
UCCUACGGGGGGCAGCAGUAGGGAAUAUUGCUCAAUGGGGGAAACCCUGAAGCAGCAACGCCGCGUGGAGGAUGAAGGUUUUCGGAUCGUAAACCUCUGUCAGGAGGGAAGAAAGCGUAUGGCGCCAAUCAGCCAUGCGUUGACGGUACCUCCAAAGGAAGCGCCGGCUAACUCCGUGCCAGCAGCCGCGGUAAUACGGAGGGCGCGAGCGUUAAUCGGAAUUACUGGGCGUAAAGCGCGCGUAGGCUGUUGUGUAAGUUGGGGGUGAAAUCCCACGGCUCAACCGUGGAACAGCCCUUGAUACU